AUGAACCCCUGCAUUCCCAGCGGAGCAUGGGAUGAGAUUCCCUGGCCAGAAUUGAGGAAAAACGGGAUUUUCCCAGGAUUUUUAUCCCUGGGGUUCCUCCAGGCUGCCUGCCCUGAUCCCAAAUCCCGGAAUUCCAGGGAAAACAGGGAUUGGUCAUGGAAUUCCGGGCUUUCCAUCCCGAUUUUUGGGUUAUUCUGGGAGCAGGGAGGGAAAUCCCAAGGCCCGCCCCUCCCUCAUUCCCAUUCCAGGGGAUUUCUGGGAAUAAUCCCCCAAAAUUCCCUUCCCGCUCCUGGAUGGGACCAGGGAGAAUCUGGGAAUUUUGGGAUUGGGAUUCCCUGGGCUUGGGGAGGAUCCGGAGGAUUUUCCAUGGAAUUCUGUUCCCAGGGUCGGGCAGGGAACGGGGAAUUUCAUCCCGGAGGAUCCCCCGGAUCCCAAAUUCCUCCGGAAUGUGGCGGAGCUGGGGCGGGAAAGGGGGGGAAAAAAGCGGGAAAAGCUUGGGAAAAUCCACCCUCAUCCCAAAAAAAAGGGCGGGAAUCCGGGUUUGGGGUGGGAUUUUGGGAUGAGCUCCACAAAAAGUGGGGGGGAAAAUGGGAAUUUUUGGGGACGGGAUGGAUGGAAUCCUGCCCGGAGCUCCCCGUUCCCUGCGGGAUUCAUCCCAAAUCCCCAAAAAUCCCCUGGAUUGGGAAAAUUCCCUGGAAAACCCCCGGGAUUCCGUGGGAAAGGGGAUUUCUGUGGAGGAAAAUUCCCAAAAAAAUCCGUUUGGAGGGAAAAUUCCAGCCUGGGAAUUCCCUGCUGCGGCUCCCGCUGGGCUUUGGGAAGAACCUCGGGAAACCGGGAAUUUGGAGGCUGGAACUCUGGGACGAGGAUCCCAAAUCUUCCCUCUUUGGCCUCCUUCCCUCCCCUUUCUUUCCCUGGGAAUUCCGGGAUUUUUCCUUUGGGAAUUCGGGGCUGGGAGUUGUCUUCGCCUGGAACUGGGGGGGGAAUCUGGGAAUUCCCAUCCCGGAUUUCCUGGGAUCGAAGCGUUCGGGGUUUUCCAGGGGGAAAUUCGGGAUCGCCCGGGGAACUGCAGGAAUUUGGGGAAGUUUUCCCGGAUUUUUCCGGCUCCGGAAUUCUGGGCUCGGAUUUGGAGCCGCAGCCCCGCCCAAGAGGGCAAUUAAGGGUUAA
Molecule: long non-coding RNA, 1164 nt
Filed under: Cyanistes caeruleus (blue tit)
Lineage: Eukaryota; Metazoa; Chordata; Aves; Passeriformes; Paridae
Description: lncRNA (ENSCCEG00000009913.1)
Source: RNAcentral